Molecule: transfer RNA, 59 nt
Filed under: Paroedura masobe
Lineage: Eukaryota; Metazoa; Chordata; Lepidosauria; Squamata; Gekkonidae
Description: tRNA-Cys
Source: RNAcentral
GGCCACGAAGUGAGCCGAAGUGCAAAUUCGGCGCAGCACCCCAAAGAGUGCCGGGGCUU